ACCACUAUGGCCCAAAUAACCAUGUUUCCCAAAGAAAAAUGAUAUCAUUAGUUUGCCAAUUUGAGCCGUGUAUGUUGAACCUUUUAUUUCUUAUCACCAGAUAUGUCUACCCUUAUACCUGAAACAUUUUUCAUUACCCUUUCCAAGCGAGCAAUGCGAGAUUGUCUUAUGAGAAACGUUUGUGAAGUACUUUGAAGGUGUUUGGCAAAAGAAUAAGUGUGGGGGUAUUUCAUGUUUGUAUAAAAAAAAUAAAAAAAAAAAAAGGAAAAAAGAGAAGAAAAAGAAAAAGAAAAAUUGUACACAAAGAAAAUAAAAAGUUGUUCAAGUUUCAGUUUAAGGGUAUGGUUGGAGGUGCUAGAAGAAUUGUUGGAGAGCUUGAGUUCUUAUAAAUCUAAAGAAAAGAAUUGAUUGCAAUGUAGCUUGGAAUUUGUGUUUCCUAUUCUUUUGUUUCAAUAACCUUAUCCCUAAACCUCAUUACAUCCAAUAAAAGUCCUCUUGAUUUAAGUUUUGCAAUUAUGACUGUGGAGAAGUGAUCUUUAUGCAAGCUUAUGGUAGAAAUUUCACAUUUGAUUCUUUGAGCGAAACACAUUAAAACUAAACACAUGUGUGAUUGAGUGCAUAUCCAGUGAGAAGGUCGCUAGUUUGCAUAUGAUGAUCUUAAAAAUAAAAACUUGAAAUUGCAUUAGCAUGGCUAUCUCACACACUACACUUCAAGGAUGAUUCAAAGAUUACUGCUAAUAUUUGAAUAAGGAAGAUGAACUUGGAUUAGUUUGUUGGUGCUAGCUAUGGUUCUUGAUGAUUUGUUUUCUCGAAUGAAAUUCUAUGAGGGUCACAUAGAGGGAAGCUAAUGUUUUUCUUGUUACUUCUUGUUCUAGUUUUCUUUGUUUUGCUCGAGGACUAGCAAAAGUU
Molecule: long non-coding RNA, 909 nt
Filed under: Malus domestica (apple)
Lineage: Eukaryota; Viridiplantae; Streptophyta; Magnoliopsida; Rosales; Rosaceae
Description: long non-coding RNA (MDOM_LNC002839)
Source: RNAcentral